UCGAACGAAGUAGCAAGUACUUAGUGGCAGACGGGUGAGAUAACAUGUAGGUAUCUGCCCUUUGGCCGUGGGAAUAACACGAGUGAAACUUGUGCUAAUACCGGAUAAGUCUAUCUACGUGAGAAAGCUUUAUGCACCAUCUGGAUGAGCCUGCACUUGAUUGAGUUUGUUGGUGGGGUAAUGGCCUACCAAGACUGUGAUCAAUAGCUGAUUUGAGAGGAUGAUCACGCCACAUUGGGACUGAGACACGGCCCAAACUCCUACGGGAGGCAGCAGUGGGGAAUCUUGCACAAUGGAGGAAACUCUGAUGCAGCGAUGCCGCGUGAGUGAAGAAGGCACUUUGGGUUGUAAAGCUCUUUCGUCGGGGAAGAAAAUGACUGUACCCGAAUAAGAAGGUCCGGCUAACUUCGUGCCAGCAGCCGCGGUAAUACAGAACGGGACCUAGCGUAGUUCGGAAUUACUGGGCUUAAAGAGUUCGUAGGUGGUUGAAACAAGUUAGUGGUUGCAAAUCCCAGAGCUUAACUCUGGAACUGACAUUAAAACUUUUCAGCUAGAGAUAUGAUAG
Molecule: ribosomal RNA, 565 nt
Filed under: uncultured Alphaproteobacteria bacterium
Lineage: Bacteria; Pseudomonadati; Pseudomonadota; Alphaproteobacteria
Description: bacterial SSU rRNA
Rfam family: Bacterial small subunit ribosomal RNA
Source: RNAcentral